This 208-nucleotide ribosomal RNA is filed under the name uncultured bacterium. RNAcentral describes it as "partial 16S ribosomal RNA". It matches the Rfam family "Bacterial small subunit ribosomal RNA", at positions 568 to 775 of the family's 1533-position model. The record is from RNAcentral.
CGUGUAGGCGGCUUGGUAAGUCAGAUGUGAAAGCCCUGGGCUCAACCCAGGAAGUGCAUUUGAAACUACCAGACUUGAGUACGGGAGAGGAGGGGGGAAUUCCCGGUGUAGAGGUGAAAUUCGUAGAUAUCGGGAGGAAUACCGGUGGCGAAGGCGCCCCUCUGGACCGAUACUGACGCUGAGACGCGAAAGCGUGGGGAGCAAACAG